AAAGGUUGAUGAUAAGGUGCUGCUGUCUCAAGCAAGCACUCUCGUUCUCGUUUUCGUUAUAUCGUUGUCGACCUAAACCCUCGAAGGCUAAGCAACAUAUCCAUGAAGUCGAGCAGCACCUACCAUUUUCCCAACCAAUCUCAAAUGUGAAGUUUUCCUUAAAGGAGAAGUUGGAUACUUGGCUCAAUCUCUCUAUGUCAUGCUUUUGUUGGUUAUGUUAAUUGGGACCCGACCAGCGUCUUGGCCUGUUGCAAUUGGAUCAAAGCCAACCAACCACCAUAGGAAUGGAGUAAUGGAAAAUAUGGGAGGUUCAGCAGCUUUCUUGAUCAAUUGACCAAACUUACCAGUUCACGUCUCCUUUUGAUUACAUGUUGCGUACACAACUUUGGUUUGUUUGAUCAACCUGAAAAGAUCAUCCAGAAGGCUCGAACUCCGGUCUUCGGCUGCAGCUCUCUCAAUCUAUACUGUUCUAUAUCGUGUUUUAAGUUUCACCGACAUAUAAUAGUCAUUACAACGACUUAAACUACAUAAUAACUAAUCUUUCAUGAAUUGGUUGUGAAAAGAUAUUGUUUUAUUAAUUUGUACGAUAGUGGAAUCUAGAAAUUCAUAUAACAAAACGGGGAAAAGAUUAACAACGUAACCAAGGCCGGAAG
RNA transcript from Fragaria vesca subsp. vesca, 653 nucleotides. RefSeq lists it as uncharacterized. Lineage: Eukaryota; Viridiplantae; Streptophyta; Magnoliopsida; Rosales; Rosaceae. The record is from RefSeq and is a predicted model, not a curated record. The transcript has 2 exons.